RNAcentral lists this unclassified non-coding RNA (269 nucleotides) under Strelitziana africana. RNAcentral's name for it is "partial internal transcribed spacer region". The stretch from base 1 to 46 matches the Rfam family "Eukaryotic small subunit ribosomal RNA", at positions 1786 to 1831 of the family's 1831-position model. The record is from RNAcentral. Lineage: Eukaryota; Fungi; Ascomycota; Eurotiomycetes; Chaetothyriales; Trichomeriaceae.
AAGUCGUAACAAGGUUUCCGUAGGUGAACCUGCGGAAGGAUCAUUACCGAGUUAGGGUUGCUCUUUGAGUGCCCGACCUCCCAACCCUUUGUCUAUGAUACCAAUUGUUGCUUCGGCGCGCCCGAGGGGUCGUACCCUCGCCUGGUUUCGUGCCGGGAGAGCGGCCGCCGAUGGCCCAUCUUAAACUAUUGAACCCAAAACCUGUCGUCUGAAAACGUUAUGAUUUACAAUCAAAAACAAAACUUUCAACAACGGAUCUCUUGGUUCUG